This 492-nucleotide ribosomal RNA is filed under the name uncultured bacterium. RNAcentral's name for it is "partial 16S ribosomal RNA". It matches the Rfam family "Bacterial small subunit ribosomal RNA", at positions 29 to 507 of the family's 1533-position model. The record is from RNAcentral.
AGUGAACGCUGGCGGUAGGCCUAACACAUGCGAGUCGAACGGCAGCACAGUAAGAGCUUGCUCUUACGGGUGGCGAGUGGCGGACGGGUGAGGAAUACAUCGGAAUCUACUUUUUCGUGGGGGAUAACGUAGGGAAACUUACGCUAAUACCGCAUACGACCUACGGGUGAAAGCAGGGGAUCUUCGGACCUUGCGCGAUUGAAUGAGCCGAUGUCGGAUUAGCUAGUUGGCGGGGUAAAGGCCCACCAAGGCGACGAUCCGUAGCUGGUCUGAGAGGAUGAUCAGCCACACUGGAACUGAGACACGGUCCAGACUCCUACGGGAGGCAGCAGUGGGGAAUAUUGGACAAUGGGCGCAAGCCUGAUCCAGCCAUACCGCGUGGGUGAAGAAGGCCUUCGGGAUGUAAAGCCCUUUUGUUGGGAAAGAAAAGCAGCAGGUUAAUACCCCGCUGUUCUGACGGUACCCAAAGAAUAAGCACCGGCUAACUUCGUG